AGCGAACGCUGGCGGCAGUCCUAACACAUGCAAGUCGAACGGAUCCUUCGGGAUUAGUGGCGGACGGGUGAGUAACACGUGGGAACGUGCCCUUUGGUUCGGAACAACUCAGGGAAACUUGAGCUAAUACCGGAUGUGCCCUUCGGGGGAAAGAUUUAUCGCCAUUGGAGCGGCCCGCGUCUGAUUAGCUAGUUGGUGAGGUAACGGCCCACCAAGGCGACGAUCAGUAGCUGGUCUGAGAGGAUGAUCAGCCACACUGGGACUGAGACACGGCCCAGACUCCUACGGGAGGCAGCAGUGGGGAAUCUUGCGCAAUGGGCGAAAGCCUGACGCAGCCAUGCCGCGUGAAUGAUGAAGGUCUUAGGAUUGUAAAAUUCUUUCAGCGGGGACGAUAAUGACGGUACCCGCAGAAGAAGCUCCGGCUAACUUCGUG
This 433-nucleotide ribosomal RNA is filed under the name uncultured bacterium. Its description in RNAcentral is "partial 16S ribosomal RNA". It matches the Rfam family "Bacterial small subunit ribosomal RNA", at positions 29 to 507 of the family's 1533-position model. The record is from RNAcentral.